Molecule: ribosomal RNA, 107 nt
Filed under: Prolemur simus (greater bamboo lemur)
Lineage: Eukaryota; Metazoa; Chordata; Mammalia; Primates; Lemuridae
Source: RNAcentral
AGUCAUACCACCCCAAAUGCACUCAAUCUCAUCUGAUCUCCGAAGCUAAGCAGGGUUGGGCCUGCUUAGUACUUGGAUGGGAGACGUACAGAAUGUUAAGGUAAUUU